AAACUCAAAUGAAUUGACGGGACCGCACAAGCGGUGGAUGAUGUGGUUUAAUUCGAAGCAACGCGAAGAACCUUACCAGGUCUUGACAUCCCUGACAACCCGAGAGAUCGGGCGUUCCCCUUCGGGGGACAGGGUGACAGGUGGUGCAUGGUUGUCGUCAGCUCGUGUCGUGAGAUGUUGGGUUAAGUCCCGCAACGAGCGCAACCCUCGACCUUAGUUGCCAGCAUUCAGUUGGGCACUCUAAGGUGACUGCCGGCUAAAAGUCGGAGGAAGGUGGGGAUGACGUCAAAUCAUCAUGCCCCUUAUGACCUGGGCUACACACGUGCUACAAUGGGCGGUACAAAGGGUCGCGAACCCGCGAGGGGGAGCCAAUCCCAAAAAGCCGCUCUCAGUUCGGAUUGCAGGCUGCAACUCGCCUGCAUGAAGCCGGAAUCGCUAGUAAUCGCGGAUCAGCAUGCCGCGGUGAAUACGUUCCCGGGCCUU
RNAcentral lists this ribosomal RNA (483 nucleotides) under uncultured Anoxybacillus sp. RNAcentral describes it as "bacterial SSU rRNA". It matches the Rfam family "Bacterial small subunit ribosomal RNA", at positions 897 to 1382 of the family's 1533-position model. The record is from RNAcentral. Lineage: Bacteria; Bacillati; Bacillota; Bacilli; Caryophanales; Anoxybacillaceae.